UGAUGCAGCCAUGCCGCGNUGUGUGAAGAAGGCCUUCGGGUUGUAAAGCACUUUCAGUCAGGAGGAAAGGGUGUGAGUUAAUACCUCACAUCUGUGACGUUACUGACAGAAGAAGCACCGGCUAACUCCGUGCCAGCAGCCGCGGUAAUACGGAGGGUGCGAGCGUUAAUCGGAAUUACUGGGCGUAAAGCGUACGCAGGCGGUUUGUUAAGCGAGAUGUGAAAGCCCCGGGCUCAACCUGGGAACUGCAUUUCGAACUGGCAAACUAGAGUGUGAUAGAGGGUGGUAGAAUUUCAGGUGUAGCGGUGGAAUGCGUAGAGAUCUGAAGGAAUACCGAUGGCGAAGGCAGCCACCUGGGUCAACACUGACGCUCAUGUACGAAAGCGUGGGGAGCAAACGGGAUUAGAUACCCCGGUAGUCCACGCCGUAAACGAUGUCUACUAGAAGCUCGGAACCUCGGUUCUGUUUUUCAAAGCUAACGCAUUAAGUAGACCGCCUGGGGAGUACGGCCGCAAGGUUAAAACUCAAAUGAAUUGACGGGGGCCCGCACAAGCGGUGGAGCAUGUGGUUUAAUUCGAUGCAACGCGAAGAACCUUACCUACACUUGACAUACAGAGAACUUACCAGAGAUGGUUUGGUGCCUUCGGUAGCUCUGAUACAGGUGCUGCAUGGCUGUCGUCAGCUCGUGUUGUGAGAUGUUGGGUUAAGUCCCGCAACGAGCGCAACCCCUAUCCUUAGUUGCUAGCAGGUAAUGCUGAGAACUCUAAGGAGACUGCCGG
This 779-nucleotide ribosomal RNA is filed under the name uncultured Pseudoalteromonas sp. Its description in RNAcentral is "bacterial SSU rRNA". It matches the Rfam family "Bacterial small subunit ribosomal RNA", at positions 384 to 1155 of the family's 1533-position model. Lineage: Bacteria; Pseudomonadati; Pseudomonadota; Gammaproteobacteria; Alteromonadales; Pseudoalteromonadaceae. The record is from RNAcentral.